Molecule: ribosomal RNA, 497 nt
Filed under: uncultured bacterium
Lineage: Bacteria
Description: partial 16S ribosomal RNA
Rfam family: Bacterial small subunit ribosomal RNA
Source: RNAcentral
GAUGAACGCUGGCGGCGUGCCUAAUACAUGCAAGUCGAGCGAACAGACGAGGAGCUUGCUCCUCUGACGUUAGCGGCGGACGGGUGAGUAACACGUGGAUAACCUACCUAUAAGACUGGGAUAACUUCGGGAAACCGGAGCUAAUACCGGAUAAUAUAUUGAACCGCAUGGUUCAAUAGUGAAAGACGGUUUUGCUGUCACUUAUAGAUGGAUCCGCGCCGCAUUAGCUAGUUGGUAAGGUAACGGCUUACCAAGGCGACGAUGCGUAGCCGACCUGAGAGGGUGAUCGGCCACACUGGAACUGAGACACGGUCCAGACUCCUACGGGAGGCAGCAGUAGGGAAUCUUCCGCAAUGGGCGAAAGCCUGACGGAGCAACGCCGCGUGAGUGAUGGAGGUCUUCGGAUCGUAAAACUCCGUUAUUAGGGAAGAACAAAUGUGUAAGUAACUAUGCACGUCUUGACGGUACCUAAUCAGAAAGCCACGGCUAACUACGUG